Rosa chinensis is the source of this 1653-nucleotide long non-coding RNA. RefSeq lists it as uncharacterized. NCBI's taxonomy places the organism in Eukaryota, Viridiplantae, Streptophyta, Magnoliopsida, Rosales, Rosaceae. The record is from RefSeq and is a predicted model, not a curated record. The transcript is spliced from 4 exons.
UCAAAUCCAAUCACAGUUAGUGGAGCCAACGCCGCCCUCCUCCUUGCUUUCCAUCUUCGAGAAGAAGACCACCCAAAUCGAUCUCUACUGCCAUCUCUCUCUCUCUCUCUCUCUCUCUCUCAAACCCAGUUCCUAUCUUAACCUAAAGUUCCCGAUUCUCUCUCUAGGCCUUAGCCGUGCCUCAAACCCAUAUCUCAUGUCUCAAAUGAUUAAUUUUAAUUGGAAGGACCAAAGGAUGUAGAAAGGGGAUCUUGGUAGCAAAGGGGAUCUCGCUCUGUCCCUAGCAUCUGCCAAUCCCGACGGUCAGUUCGCUCUCUCCAGCUCGAAGGACGGUGAGCUUCGUCUCUAGAAGAUGGAAGCCAUCACCGAAUCUUAGGUUUCUUCUUCAAUAGAAGAAAACCCAAAGUUCCGCGGCUAUUCUGGUUUUGCCAAACCCAAAGACGAUGAGGCUGCUUGGGAUGGCGACGAGCCUGGUUGCUGGAAGCAUGUGGAUGAGGCCAAGGUUUGGUGUCUGAUGCAUUUCAUUUAACUUUUGGGUGUGGCUUGUUGACGUUUUUGAUGUUCGCAUUGGCGGCUUCUCAAAAGAAGCCUGAUGGAAUCUACACUUAGGGGUAAGAUUGUGGAGCAAAGAGGAGAGGAGCACUUGCUUGCUUGAAAGAAAAGAAGUGGAGUGAAAUGGGAGGAGAAUUUGCAGCGAAGGAGAGUGGUAAAAUUUCCUAGAGACUGAGGGGCGGGUGCGAAAAUUUCUGAUUGUGAAGUAAGCUAUUGGAUUUGAUUCUGCAUGUUGGAUCUCUGCAAUCUAUUAAUCAAUUGUUUUGAUGAGUUUUCUUCUAUUUGUUGAUAAUCUUUCGGAUUGUCAGGUUUACUUAUCGAUCAAAUGUUUAUAGAGUUUGGGUUUGUUUUGAUAAAGUUUGGGUUCCUGUUUCAUUAGACUUGAUUUGAUAUUUUUUCUUUUGGGGUUUUGUUGUUUGUCAAAUAGAGAGUAGAGGAGCUCUUGCCUGCUUGAAAGAAGUACAAGAGAGAGAGAGAGGAGAGGGGUUCUUGCUUGCUUGAAAGAAAAGAAGUGGAAUGUAUUUGAUCAUUUAGCUUUACAACUCACCUGCAUUCACAUUGGGUCGAAAUAUGCAACACGUUGAUGUUACUGGCUACUGUCUUUUACAUGAACUAUAUAGGGUUGUUCUGCAUCACCGAGUGUUUGGACCAAAAGUUGAAGUCCAUAUAUUUAGAAAGAGAGAUUUGAAUAUCUUGGUUGGCCUUAUCAGGCUAUCAGCUUCUAUCAAUUACCAUGAUUCACAAUCCUUGAUCAUUUACUUGCCGGCUUUGUAAUAUAUAGGAUUAGACAAAUUUUACAAAUAAUAUAUAGUCAUUUAGCUUUCUAUUUUCAUUUUAUCAAUUGGAUUUAUUGUAUGCAGAUUAGGUGGCAUUGGAGGUAUUGUCAAUUGUGAAGCUGCUUCUACUAACAUUCCGAUCAUCUUUCUCAGGUUGGUUGCCUAUAAUUGACAUUCCAAAAGCAGGUGAAGCUGUGAAUAGAAGUGGAUAAUGUGAGAGCCGAUGAUCUUCAUUUAAAAAAGACUUCAAUCAUAUUUGCCGGAUUUUACACAUAAUUAGAAUUCUCAUACAAAGAAAGUGUUAGUGGUUAAGUGGUUUUCUUUU